CUUAAAAAAUUGUGAUUGUGAAAGUACUUAAUACUUCUUCACUAUAAAUGUAGGUUUCACGUUUGAAGAUCCAUUUAUUAAAAAAUUGUGAAAUAGAAUGUGAUGGAUUUACUGUCUCUAUAUACCAAGAAUGCACCCAGCAACCAAAUUCGUAAGUCAUUUUCCAUUUAAAAUAUGAAUUUACUCUUAUUUAAUGAUAUUUAUCUAUCUUUGUAUGGUAUUAGCAGGGUUGAUUGUGGUGUCUACUUAAUGAAAUUUAUGGAAUGUCUUUCCCGUGGAGAUAUAUUUGAUUUCAACUCGGGGCCAAUGAAUUUUGAACGAAAAAAGUUGGUUGCACAACUCAUGCUGGGCAAAAUGAUUACACCACAGUAAUGUGACAUGUAAAGGCCAAAAUUCUCCUUUAUCAGUGAAAGCAUUGGGGCUGCCUGUCAUAUGAUUGCU
This is a long non-coding RNA of Magnolia sinica, 441 nucleotides long. RefSeq lists it as uncharacterized. The record is from RefSeq and is a predicted model, not a curated record. The transcript is spliced from 3 exons. Lineage: Eukaryota; Viridiplantae; Streptophyta; Magnoliopsida; Magnoliales; Magnoliaceae.